UAAGACAGAGGUGCCGAGCGUUAGGCGGAAUCACUGGGCUUAAAGCGUGUGUAGGCGGAUGCCUAAGUACCUUGUGAAAUCCCACGGCUCAACCGUGGAACUGCUCGGUAUACUGGGCGUCUUGAGCCACUUAGGGGCAACCGGAACAAACGGUGGAGCGGUGAAAUGCGUAGAUAUCGUUUGGAACGCCGAUGGUGAAAACAGGUUGCUGGGAGUGCGCUGACGCUGAGACACGAAAGCCAGGGGAGCAAACGGGAUUAGAUACCCCGGUAGUCCUGGCCGUAAACGAUGUCCACUAGAUCCUGGCCCCUUUGACGGGGUCGGGGUCGAAGUAAAAAUGAUAAGUGGACCGCCUGGGAAGUACGGUCGCAAGGCUA
RNAcentral lists this ribosomal RNA (377 nucleotides) under uncultured bacterium. Its description in RNAcentral is "bacterial SSU rRNA". It matches the Rfam family "Bacterial small subunit ribosomal RNA", at positions 521 to 896 of the family's 1533-position model. The record is from RNAcentral.